GAUGAACGCUGGCGGCGUGCCUAAUACAUGCAAGUCGAGCGAACGGACCCGAAGCUUGCUUCUCUCAUGUUAGCGGCGGGCGGGUGAGUAACACGUGGAUAACCUACCUAUAAUACUGGUAUAACUUCGGAAAACCGGAGCUAAUACCGGAUGAUCUUUUGAACCACAUGGUUCAAUGGUGAAUGACGGUCUUUGGGUCUCUUAUCGCUGGAUCCGCGCUGCAUUAGCUAGUUGGUCAGGUAACGGCUUACCAAGGCAACGAUGCAUAGCCGACCUGAGAGGGGGAUCGCCGGCACUGGAGCGGAGACAGGCACCAGACUCCUACGGUAGGCAGCAGUAGGGAAUCUGCCGCAAUGGGGGAAAGCCUGACGGAGUAACGCCGCGUGAGUGAUGAAGGUCUUCGGAUCGUAAAACCGUGUUAUGAGGUAAGAACAGAUGUGUAAGGAGCUGUGCACAGCGUGACGGUACCGAAUCAGAAAGCCACGGCUAACUACGUG
RNAcentral lists this ribosomal RNA (497 nucleotides) under uncultured bacterium. RNAcentral's name for it is "partial 16S ribosomal RNA". It matches the Rfam family "Bacterial small subunit ribosomal RNA", at positions 28 to 507 of the family's 1533-position model. The record is from RNAcentral.